Molecule: ribosomal RNA, 467 nt
Filed under: uncultured bacterium
Lineage: Bacteria
Description: bacterial SSU rRNA
Rfam family: Bacterial small subunit ribosomal RNA
Source: RNAcentral
UAGGGAAUAUUGGACAAUGGGUGAGAGCCUGAUCCAGCCAUGCCGCGUGCAGGAAGAAGGCGUUAUGCGUUGUAAACUGCUUUUUGCCAGGGGAUAAAAAGACCGUGCGCGGUUAAUUGAAGGUACCUGGUGAAUAAGCCACGGCUAACUACGUGCCAGCAGCCGCGGUAAUACGUAGGUGGCAAGCGUUGUCCGGAUUUAUUGGGUUUAAAGGGUGCGUAGGUGGCCCUGUAAGUCAGCGGUGAAAUAUCUCAGCUUAACUGAGAGGGUGCCAUUGAUACUGCAGGGCUUGAGUACAGAUGAGGUAGGCGGAAUUGACGGUGUAGCGGUGAAAUGCAUAGAUAUCGUCAAGAACACCGAUAGCGAAGGCAGCUUACCAAGCUGUAACUGACGCUGAGGUGCGAAAGCGUGGGGAGCAAACGGGAUUAGAUACCCAGGUAGUCCCUGAGCGGGCUGGCAAGGCGCAU